GAUUGAGUUUGAUCCUGGCUCAGGACGAACGCUGGCGGCGUGCCUAAUACAUGCAAGUCGAGCGAAUCUGAGGGAGCUUGCUCCCAAAGAUUAGCGGCGGACGGGUGAGUAACACGUGGGUGAUCUGCCCUGCACUUCGGGAUAAGCCUGGGAAACUGGGUCUAAUACCGGAUAUGACUUCAGGUUGCAUGACUUGGGGUGGAAAGAUUUAUCGGUGCAGGAUGGGCCCGCGGCCUAUCAGCUUGUUGGUGGGGUAAUGGCCUACCAAGGCGACGACGGGUAGCCGACCUGAGAGGGUGACCGGCCACACUGGGACUGAGACACGGCCCAGACUCCUACGGGAGGCAGCAGUGGGGAAUAUUGCACAAUGGGCGAAAGCCUGAUGCA
RNAcentral lists this ribosomal RNA (387 nucleotides) under Rhodococcus erythropolis. RNAcentral describes it as "bacterial SSU rRNA". It matches the Rfam family "Bacterial small subunit ribosomal RNA", at positions 1 to 390 of the family's 1533-position model. The record is from RNAcentral. Lineage: Bacteria; Bacillati; Actinomycetota; Actinomycetes; Mycobacteriales; Nocardiaceae.